RNAcentral lists this long non-coding RNA (18958 nucleotides) under Populus trichocarpa (black cottonwood). Its description in RNAcentral is "long non-coding RNA (PTRI_LNC004594)". The record is from RNAcentral. Lineage: Eukaryota; Viridiplantae; Streptophyta; Magnoliopsida; Malpighiales; Salicaceae.
CUUCUUUUCCUCAGUUCCUUUUGAAGUUGAAGUUUCUUAAUCUCAGUCAUUCUCAUUACCUAUCUCGGACUCCCGACUUUUCCAGACUUCCACAUCUGGAGAAGUUAAAACUCAAAGACUGCAGAAGUUUGGUUGAAGUUCAUCAUUCUAUUGGAUACCUUGAUAGACUUGUUUUGGUAAAUUUAAAAGAUUGCAAGCAACUUAGGAGGCUCCCGAGUAGCUUCUGGAAGUCGAAGUCUAUCGAGAUUCUUUACCUCUCAGGCUGCUCAAAAUUUGAUGAAUUGCCCGAGGACUUGGGAGAUUUGGAAUCCUUGACAAUUCUCAAUGCAGAAGACACUGUCAUAAGACAAGUACCAAGUACCAUAGUCAGAUGAAGAACCUCAAAGAUUUAUCACUUUGUGGCUGUAAAGGUUCAACUUCUGCAACAUUUCCUUCACGUUUGAGGUCAUGGUUUCUUCCAAGAAAAAUUCCCAAUCCAACCAACCUGUUGCCACCUUCCUUUCAUGUCACAUCAUUGUCGCUCAGGGAUUGCAAUUUAUCUGAUGAUGCGCUUCCUAGAGAUCUUGGGAGCUUACCCUCACUAACCAAUCUGGAAUUGGACUUUAACAGUUUUCAAAGUCUACCAGCUGGCUUGUGUAGUCUUUUGAGACUUAAAAUUCUAACGUUGGACGAUAACACAAGUCUACAAACAAUUCCAGCUUUACCUAGAAAUUUGGAUGUCUUGCGCGCUUCGAACUGCACAUCAUUGGAAAGAUUACCAGACAUAUCAGUAGCUUCACGUAUGCGUUUGCUGUAUAUUGCUAAUUGCCCCAAACUGAUUGAGGCUCCAGGAUUGGAUAAAUCAAGGUCCAUUUCACACAUUGACAUGGAAGGGUGCUACGAUAUCUCAAAUACUUUAAAAAAUAGCUUGCACAAGGUAUUCUUUCUCUGUCUCUCUUUACUUGUUAAACAUAUUUUUCUAUGUUGUUGUUAAAUAUAUAAAAUAAAAAUGGUACUCUUUGUGCAGGGAUGUAUUUCUGGUAUGGUACUUCCUGGAAAUGAGAUUCCUGCCUUGUUCAACUAUAAGAAUGAGGGUGCUUCAAUAUUGUUUAAACUACCUGAAUUCGACGGCAGGAACUUGAAUGGCAUGAACGUGUGCAUUGUUUGCUCAUCUCAUUUAGAGAAAGAAGAAACUAAACACAUUAGAAUCAAAUUGACUAAUUAUACUAAGGGUUUUACCAAGAAUUUUCGUGCUGUAGCAAUUAACUUGGUAAAAUCCUGCGAAGAUCACCUUUGGCAAGGCCAUAUAUCAAACAAUUUUUUCAAACUUGGUAGUGAAGAUGAAGUGGAACUUAUUGUAGACUGUAUGAACACAAUGACUGUGAAGAAGAAUGGAGUAUACUUGGUAUAUGAGCAAGAUGAGGCAAGGCUUAAAGCUAAGAGAGGUCUUGAUAGUGAUGAUGAGGCAGGAUCAAGCUGUGAUACUUCUAGCAAAAAGAUUGAGAAUUGAGACUAGUCCGCAGAACAUUGAGGAAAACAUGGAUGUGGCAUAGCUUCAGCCUUCAGGUUUUGGCGUUUUCAAUGCUGUCUCUGUUGAAGCUUUAGUUCAAGAUGAUAUUUUAUACAUUAUGCCUGUGUAAUAAAGGGUUUUUGGGACGCAUGGGAGAUUCUAGAAGUGUUAGAGUUACCAAAUAUGGAGUUGAAGGUGUUGGACUACUUUUAACGGGUACAUUGGAAACAGUAGUCCAAGUGUUGAGCUACCAAAAUUUAUUUUUUGGUAAAAUUUUCAACCCUAUUUUGAACAUCCAGUGUUUAAUUUAAAAUUUUAUCUUCAAUUAUCAGACUUAUAUAACAUCUAGGGUUUUCUCUCAAGUCGUUGUUUAAUUCACUUCCUUCAUAUUUUCUCCUUCCAAUCUAAUUUUUCUUAGUUCAGGCUGCCCACUUUUAUAAUUUUUGUUAUUUUUGUCACGUCUAUGGAACUAGCUAGUGGUAGAAGAGCUGUUUUUUACGUACAUGAUGCUCCUCUUUGCGACCAUAAACAUUGAAGAAUUUCUUGGUGAUCUCUGAUAUUCUUUGCGUUUUAUGCAUGGUGGUCUACAGGAGGAGAUAAAUAGUGUUAGCACUCUUUUAUCUUUUUUUGAGUAGUGAAUCUUCUAUCAAGUUUGGCUCACAGCGAAAAAAGAAAAAAGAAAUGCUAAAUUUUGAAAGAAAAGAAGACGUUUUGCACCAAAUACUUUUUUGAAAGUAUUUAAUUUAUAAAUACACGUAAUAUUUUUGUGUAGGACGUCCUACUGACUUUUUUAAAAUAGAUAUUGGAUAUAAAAAAAUUAUAAAUUAUAAUUUUUUUACCUGGUCAUAAAAACUACAACAAUGCUAAACAUACAAUAAUAUGAUCAUGUUCUGAUUAUGUCAUGUGUUAAUUACCAGUUUAAGAGUAUAUUUGUUUUUGCGAUUUAACUCGUUUAUAUAUGUGAUUCAACUUGAAUUUUAAACUGUUUUUCAACAAAAAAAAUAUUAAAUUAAUAUUUUUUUAUGUGUUUUUCAAUGAUUUUGAUGUACUAAUAUAAAAAUUUUAAAAAAUAUAAAUUAUUAUUAUUAUUUUUAUGUAUUUUUAAUUAAAAAACACUUUCAUAAAAAUAUUUUGCAUCACAUUAGCAAACACACACUAAGAUGAGAUUGAUUUUUAUAAACCAAAAAUAAUAAAAAAAAAUCUUAUGGUGAUUUUACAAAAUUUUGAGGACUGAAAUUUUAUAAUGAACCCAAAAUCAUAAAACUCGUAAUAUAAGACUCUCUUAUGUUUCUCUCUUCGCACAAAGCAUUAAAAUCUCCAAAUUAAUCAAAUAAAUUAUCAAAAUAUCAAUGCACUGUCAUUUAUCCACAUAGAAAACCUAAAGUAGUGGUAUAAACUAUAAAAUUUUUAUUCACAAUUAACAGGAAAUUGGGAUGUUAACUGACUUACAGAGAGUAAUUUUUUUUUUUCCAAAUCUGGUACUAACAAUACAUUAUUAAGUGGCAGGAUUUGAUUUUUCUGUGUGAUGGAGGAAUCUCCAAUACCAUGUAUUGAUAUAGAAGAACCGUCACCAAUAAGAACAAAGUCUGAACCAUAAUGAUUGCGAAUAUUUUUUAACAUACCUGGAUUACCUGUCAUGUGGUUGGAAACUCCUGUAUGAGAGAUCCAUUCCGUUUCAGUGACAGUAUUGUCCAAGGUGAGAGCAGCUAAAGCUUGUGGAAGGUCUCCGUGUUGAUUUGAUCGUUUAGGCACCCACCAGCAUAUCUUUGCAAUAUGACCUGCUACACCACAGUACUGAUAGGUUUCUUCUCGGUAUAGCUCAUGUUCUGCAGGAGUCAUGCGAUGCUCUCCAGAUGGAGGAGGUCGUUUCUGUUUUGGAUCUGAAGUGGGUCUGAGAGUGUAAGUAUGAGUUUUCUCUUUAGGUUGUUGUGCAUGGAAUCCUCUCCUAGUAGAUAUAAAGCUUUGUCUGCUGACAUGGUUUCCUGAAAAAUGAUGUUGAGGGCGCUGGUGUUUUUGCCCAUAGAAUGCCAGUUGAGGAGUGAAUGAAUUAUUUGUCUGAUUGGUGAACCAGUUUCUUCUUUGGUCUAGGCUCUGUAAUUGAGAGACCAACUCCGGGUAAGAAGGUCUUGGUGGUUUCAGCAUUGUGGUAGUGAAUGUUUCAUAUUGAGGGUCGAGACUUGUGAGGAGGCAAAAGAUUUUUUCUUUGUCUAAAAUUGGUUUCCCAAUAGCUGUAAGGUCAUCGCAUAGUCCUUUGAAGAUUCGAAUGUGUUCUCCAAUGGUUCUGUCAUCUUCUUUGCGAAAAUAGAUGACUUGUUGUUUGAGGGUGAAUUCUUGUUCUUGGGAGUCUUUUGCAUAUUCAUUUUUUAGAGCACUUCAGACAGUAAAGGUUGUAUCGAGGCCUACUGCAAGGCCUAAUGUCUGUUCUGAAAGAGUACCAAUCAACCAGCCAUGAAGAAGCCGAUUUGCUUUCCUCCAGACAAUGUAUUCUUCUGUUAGUCUUGGUGAAGAAUUUGUGGUGGUAGUAGAAUCUGGUACAAUAUAUUUGUUUGGGAUUGAGUCUUUAUUGAUGAGAUGAUCAACCAAGUCUUGAAUUUCUGCAAGAGCUAAGGCUUGUUCUCUCCAUAGUGGAUAAUUUGUGGGGAUGAGCUUGAGGAUAAUGAAAUUACCAACAUUGAGUGACAGAGUUGACAUGUUGUGUGGUUCUGUUAAGAUGUAUAUUCACACAGGCUCUGAUACCAAGCAGAAAUUUAGAGGAAAAAAAGAUGUUUCAAUGGAAGAAAGGUUUUCUCUGUUUCUUUGAAUUUUAACGUGAAUAUACAACUUACUAUUCUAUACGAGCUGCUGGUUUUUUUUUAUAACAUUACAAGUUGCUUAAUUUGGAUACAUUGACUUGCCUAAUCCUUAGCUGAUCUGUUUCCAUAACAAUCCAACGUCUCUUUCUGUUUCUGGUUUCUGUCAUAAACUUCAUUGCUGCUGCUGUUGAUUUAUUUCCAUAAUAAGCCAACGUCUCUUUCUGUUUGUGUUUUGUUACCAUGAGAGUUGGUUUGUUUCCAUGUUACUGGUGAUUCUAAUAACUAGCCAAAAAAUAACGAAAGCAACUAUCUAAUACCUUUCUUCACCCAACUUUCCUUCUUUUUUAUCUGUUUUCAGUUUAUUCUCAAUCAUCUUCCACUUAAACCUUCCAUUAGACGUAUUAUAUUGAUCAACUUGGUCUAUAUGCAAUAGUUUUGCAACCGUUGUAGUUGUACUCUCAAAUUUUUGCCUGAAAUACACGUUGUGAGGGUUAUUUGGGAAACUCAAGAUCUAGGCAUACUCUUCAAAGGUAGGGGUCAUAUCAACAUCCUCGAAGGUGAAACAUUUAUAGCUCGGAUCCUAGAAGUGUAUCAAAGCUUUAACUGUUGAAAUCUAAACGAGAAUCCUUAUUAAAUGAGCAAUUCUCCCAUUUUCUCAAACAGAUUCUCAUCUAUGUACCCCAGAAUUGACGCCAACUUCUUUAUGUUGUCUAUGGAGUAGUGUACUUUAGUUAUGUGCGGUAAUUUCUCAACCUUGAUUUUUGGCAAUCCCCUUCAACUAAUUGUAUCAUCUCGAAUCUUUCCCUAUAUUCCGAAAAGGUCAUGGUUUUAGCUAAGGUCCAAGGUAGAUCUUCCAUCGUGAGGAAGUCUCUACCUUAUCUAUGAUAUCCCACAUCGGAAGCGAGUGUCCAAAGCUAGGGCUUUAUGAGUAAUGUUGGUCGUUGACCUAUUGUACGCAUUUUGGGGUGUCGGGCUUAGAAGUGAGUUCACGUCACCAAGAACAAAACCAUGAGGGCGAAAGGCCUAAAGCAGACACUAUACAGCAGGUUGGGCUGAGCUAUUAUAUUUGGUGUUAGAGCCAAGGACGACUCAUCUUAAGGUGGGGGGAUUGUGAUAUCCCACAUCGCAAGCGAGCAUCUAGAGCCAGGGCUCUAUAAGUAGUGUUGGUCGCUGACCUGUUGUACGUGUUUUGAGAAGUUAGGCUCAAAAGUGGGCCCGCGUCACCAAGAACAAAACCGUGAGGGCAGAAGGCCUAAAGUGGACAAUAUACAGCAGGUUGGGCCAGGAUAUUACAUUAUCAGACUAAAUCCUAAUUAUUUUAAAGCCCAAAAUUUAGCCCACUUUGUUCACCAUUUGUGAUCUUCUUUAGUAUUGUUGGAUUUAUUUUGCCAAGAUGUUUCCAAUAGUACCUGUGAUGUUAUUAUCAGAGUUUUGAUGUGUUUCAACAAUGAAUUGACUAUGAAUAAUAAAUAAUUACAAACUUGAAAGGAGCAAAAUAUAAAAAAAAACAUGUUCAAAAAGAAGGAAAGAAAACACUAAUGCUUGGUUGAUAUUAAGUCCAAAUCAAAAAUCAAAUCUCCAAGAAUCAAGUCCUAAAACUCAUUUUAGACUGCAUUAAUUUUAGAUUCUCCUUAAAAACUUUAAAAGGAUGAAGAAUAAGCUUAUGUUCCGCAAGAACCAACACCAACACAGGGAGAACAGAGAGAACCAGAAAAGACAUUACCAGCCCUCAACCUUCAUUCAAUACCAUCACUACCUAUCCUUACACCACCACCAAUCAUUCACCAAAAUCAAACUAAAACCUCAAGCCAUAAACCAUCCCUUCUCCAACCCUUGAUUCAAUAGCCUUCACUGAAACAACUAGGCUUAACCCGAGAUCACUAUCACACCCAGACAUCGUGACAACCCAUUAAAAAUUAUCACUCAAUCGGAAAAAACAGAUAUCUGACAUCUUGUUCUUUGGGGAAAAAAGGUCUUGUUGAAGGAGUCAUCACUUAAUAUGAUAGUCACUAGGAACCUUAACUAAUUAACAGAGAUUCUAUGGUACGAGACUGGUUACAUGAAAGGAAAGAUACUAUCACCCCUUAAGCAUUCUAUCUAAGGCAGGCUGCAUUGCUGGUUUUGUCUAAAAUCACUAAGUGUUUGUGCUUUCCCCUUUCUUUUUUUCUUUUUUUAUUUCCUACCAUAUUCCUAAGUCUGGUGUUACUGAAUAAUCACUUAUGAAUAUUUCCAACUAUGAUGUUGGUAAAUAGUGCACAACUCAAAAUAUACGGUAUCCUAACUCUGGCGCCAAUGAAUAAACCCGUAAAAUUUAAAUUUUUUUUUAAAAACACUAUUUUUAUUUUAAUAUUUUUUUUUUAGCUGGAUCCAGCAGUCCAACCUAGUUACUAGCCCAAGCAGUAACCGGCUCCCCAAAUGUUGCAUGCAUGCGUGAAUAAUUCACGCGUGCAUGCAACGGUGUCAAGGCAAUUAAGUUUAAAGGGAUGAAAAAGGGGCUCACCUGGUGCAAGGGCUGGCGAGAAGAGUUUGUGCUGGAGUUGUUGUUGUUGCCGGUUGAAAGCUGGUGCUCGGCUGGAGAGGGGAACUUAACCAAUGCUACCCGCGGUUGAGAAGUUGAUUCUGCAGUUGUCUAUGGCUGGAGAAGAAGGUGCCGUUUUUUUCUGCUGGAAGGAAGAUCUUCCACCACUGUUACUGUGUUGCUGAAGACAACACUGCUACUGCUGGGAAGGGAAGAUUGCUGCUGAUUUCGGCUAGGAUGAUGAAGACUCCACUACUGCCGUGACUGGAAGUGACCAAGCCCUACUGCUGCUACUGAGGGGGGUUUCUGUCUUGAGUUCAGACUUUGGAGAAUGAGAGCUGCUGACAGGGUGGUUUGAUCCCUUUUUUUUGCUGGUGGUGGUCGGUGAAGGGUCUUGUGGCCGAUGGCAGUGGUCCCAGGCCAGAAAGAAGGGAAAGAGGGACGGUAGGGAUACCAAGCUUCUUCUCUGUCCAGAUCCCAGGAGGCUGGGGAGCUCAAAGAAGAAGAAAAGGAGUAGGAAACUAAAGAACCGGGGGAGGGGGAGCCGCCUAGUCCAAAAAAUAGGUUUUCGGUCCCCCUCCUUUGUUUUGUGUCCUCCUGAUUUUUUUUAGGGCUCAUUGUAAUGGUCUCUUUUAGGGUUUCUUGUAGUGGUUUCUUUUGUUCUCUUUUUGCAUACACUAGACCUGUAUUUAUAUUUACAGUGGAAGAGUUUCAUUACUCGUGAAAAACAAAGCCUCAAUUAAAAUUGUUUUUUUUUUAAUUUGAAUUUUAUUAAAAAUUAAAUUGAAAAGUAGAUAAUUAUUAUUAUCUUGAAGAUAAAAAUAAGAUGACAAAAGUACAUUGUAGUUCAUAAUGUUCAUGCAGGCUAUUAAAUUAUAUUUUUCAUCAAAAUAAAUUUAUGAUAUUUUAAUUUUACAUUAUAAAUCUUGAAAUUAAAGUAAAAGCUAAUUGACAAAAAUUUGGAUUACAACAAUCACCCUACCCUAGACAUCAUCCCCAAAUCAACUCGGUAGCCUCUCAAUCAGCCUGGAGACGAACAUCAACCUCUAGAAUUCCACAAAAACCAAUAUCAGCCUUCAUCCCCAUCGAAAAACCAGAGCCUUAAUAUGUUUAUAUUUUUCUUUUCAAUCACCAGAGAUUAAAUAGACUUCCAUAUAUGUUCUUUGGAGAUUAGUAUUCGGCAACUUUUAUAUCUAGGUUAAUGUAGGUUUUCAAAUCUGGUCUCUUUUUUUUUUUUUUUAUCAUGCUUAAAGCAUCAGGAGAUUAAUUAGGUUUUUCUAGCAACCGGAAUGUCAUGGUGUCACUCUCUCCUCUUCCUUUGGGCUCAUUAAUUUUAGAUGGCCCUUCUUUUGGCAUGGAAUCAUGAAUAAUUAUUGACCAUCUUGCUUAAUCAUUUCUGGAUGUGAUUAAAUUGCAUCCGUAUGGUCUAUGAUUGUAAUAAAGUAAAGAUCUACCAUAAAUUGCAUCCGUAUGGUAUAUGGUCAAUUAAUUAAAUAUUGAAAGAAAUUUUUUAUAAAAAAAUCAAUUAUACAAAAAAAGUCAAAAAUCUCAUUACCCCUCAUUUAACAAGAUAAUUAUAUAAAAAUCAUUGUAAAAAUAUAAAAUUGGCCAUUGACUCUAGCUUCAAUUUUUUUUAUUCCGCCAGUAUUUUGAUUGAUUCUAUGUAUAAUUAAAAUAAAAAAAAAUUAUUUGUUUCUAAUCAAUUGGGCAACACUAUGAUUUUUUAUUUUAUUGAUUGAGUGAUAAAAAUAUUAAAAUAGAAUAACUAAAAUGAUUUUCAAAGGGAUUUGGAUUGUGUUCUAUAUAUAUCUCUCUGCAAGUUGCCAUCUUUGUGGCCGAGCACUAAACCCAGAACUCCCUCCUCCAUCUUCAGCCUCCUCUCAAACUAGCAGACUCCAUCUCCUCUCAAACAAACAAUCCAAAGAAAUAUAAAAAAUAAAAAAAUAAAGAAGCUAGGGUUAUACAGAAUAAUACAAAUUAAAUACUUAAGAAAAUUUAGUUUAUCCAAAAUAUAUAUAUAAAAAACCUAUAUAUAAAAUAAACUAAUAAAAUAAAAUAAAAAUUAAUUUACUCUUAAUAAAUAAUAAAACAAAAUAAUUCCAUAUUACCCAUCAUGAUAUCUUUUAAAUUAACACGUCCUGGUGUUUUCUUGAUGCAAAACAUGAGGCAAGGGAGGUCAGUCCAUCAAACAGAAACUCAAUAAGACAAAAGUACCUUUGACCUUAACACUUCAGUCUCCAUCAAGGCAACCCAUCCCAGUCAUCAAUAAUCAAAGAAGAUACAAAAACAAAACCCAAUAAAACAUUCACUAUGAACAGUAAGAAAUUGAAAACCUGAAAGAAGCAAAAUAAAGAGAGAAAAAAAGAAUACUUCUUCACCAUCACCGUACAAUGUUCGCAAAGAAAAUCGCAAAGAAAUCGUUUUUGUAAGAAAAUUUAAUUUUUUUUUGUUAAAAUUUAAUAUAGUUUAUACGUUUUGGAUCGUUUUGAUGUGCUGGUAUCAAAAAUAAUUUUUUAAAAAUAAAAAAACAUCAUUAACAUGCAUUUUGGUACAAAAAAUUAUUUAAAAAGCAACCGUUACCACAUUACCAAGCAUCCUCUUAAGCGAUGGAGUAGUACUUUAAUAGAUCUAUUGCCUCCUUUUUUUUUCCCUCUAAAAAAUAUAAAAAAGACACGUUAAAAAACAAAGAAAAAAAAAGAAAAGAAAAAACUAAUUCUUUCUUGAUAUUAAAGAAGCAAUUAGUCCCCACAAACCAAAAGCUAUGAUCUACUUUAUUUUUUAAAAUACAGAGCGCUCCAAUAAUUUGUCAAAAUUACGUGAGAAAAAAAAGUCUUUUCAAUGAAUUUAGUUAUUUUAUUAUAGCUGUUAUUUUUAUUUAAUUGUUUUGUGUUAAAAACAAUGAAAAUCAUAAAUAAAUAAAAUACAAAAUUAAAUAAAAUAUAUAAAAAAAAUAAAAAAAAUAUAGUUGGGGUUAAAAUAGAACUACUAAUUUAGCAUUACAAGCAAAAAUAAAGUUUGGAAAUUUUUAUAUCAUAAAUAAGGAUUUGAUUGAAGAGAAAUUAAAGAAAAAAAGACUUAAUCAGACCUUAAUUUGGCUAAUAUUAGAAAAAUUAAAGAUCAAAGGCUAAAAAAUAUUCAAUUAUAUAAAAUAAUUCAAAACAAAAAAAAAUAUGCAUUUUUUUUAAAAAAAUUAUGCCCAGUCAAAUAACAAAUUACCCCUCCGUUAACAUGAUAAUAAUGUAAAAACUACUAUAAAAAUAUCAAAGGUUAAAAAAAUUAAAUUAUACAAAAAGAUUCAUAACAAAAAAAUAUGCAUUUUUUUUUAAAAAAAAUUAUGUCUAGCCAACUAUCAAAUUACUCCUCAUUUGACAUGAUAAUUAUGUAAAAACUACAGUAAAAAUACAAAAUUGGUUCUUGACUCUAGCUUUAUUUUUUUUAUUUAAGGAUUAUUUUGAUAGUUUCUCUAUAUAAUUAAAAUAAAAUAAAAAUUAUUUAUUUCCAAUCAAUUUGGCAACAUUGUAAUUUUUUAUUUUAUUUUUUUAUAUGUGGUCAAAUACUAAAUUAGCUUAUAUAAAAACCAUUAUAAAAAUAUAAAAUGGACCAUUGACUCUAAUUUUAUUUUUUUAUAUAAUAUAAUUAAAUUAUAAAAAUUUACUUGUUUCCAAUCAAUUUAGUAAUCAGCACUGUAAAAUGUUUUUUCAAUUCCCCUGUAACGUAUUUAAAUUUUUUGAUUGAGUGACAAAAAUAUUAAAAUAGUAUUUUCACUCACAUGACUGAAAUGUUUUUCAAAAGGAUUUAGUGGCAAAGAAUAUAUAUAUAACUAGUGUUAUAUAUAUAUAUAUAUAUAUAUAUAUAUAUAUAUAUAUAUAUAUAUAUAUGCAAGUUGCCAUCUUUGUGGCCGACAUUGACAAAGAAUAUAUGUUGUUUAUUAACAAGAUAACUCAAGAGGUUUUUCUCAAACAAUAGAAAAACAUAUUACAAGCUGCACGCGGCACAUGCACCUCUCUUGAAAAAACAAUAAAAAAAAAAAUCCCACCAUAUAAAAUAAAAUAAUAAAAUAAUGAAUUAGCAUGGAUUUAUGGCUGGCCGCGUUUGUUUUGCAACUAUUGUUGUGUUUGCUGUACAAGGCAGUAAUAUGUUUGAUAAUAAAUUAAAUUAUAUUUUAUAUUAUGGAACUCAUGAAAAAAUUGAACUUGAAAUAUAGUUUUUAAGAAGCAGUUUUUAUAUAUUUUUUUAUCAAGUUCUGUAAAAUUUUAUUUAUUUUUGUGUUUUAAAAAUACUUUUGAAAAAAUUAAAUUUUUUUUAUUUUUUUUACUUCAAAUUAAUAACUUUUUGUGUUUUUAGUUUUUUUUAUGCGAUGAUAUCAAAAAUUAUUUUUAAAAAAUAAAAAAAAUUAUUUUGAUGAAUUUCCAAGUAAAAAGUACUUUGAAAAGCAACUGCAACCACACCUCCAAACACAAUUGGUACUAAACAUCAACUAAUUAUAACCGGAGUUUCAUUUUAGUACUGAAUAAAACUAAUUAGAUCUGCUUAAUUUUAUUAGGACUUUUUAAUCAUUACAAUUGUAAAUUCAAUAUUGACCAAUUAAUUUAAAUAUUGACUAAUAAAACUAAUUGACUCGAAUUAAUUUAAUUUUUUAUUUUAUAAAAAAUAAAAAAAAACAUAUUUGUUUUAAAGAAAAACCAACAUAUUUUAACUAGGUUUUUUUAAAAGUGAAUACUUUAGUUUAUGUUAUGCUAUCUGCAAAUGAUGACCACACGCACACCACAACAAAUAAAAUAUACACUCCCAAGUCCCAACAAUCCGGCUUUCUUCAUGGCCAUUUUUUUUUUAAGAGAGGUACACGCGACGCAUGCGCCGCGCCUCGUUACAUGCAGAUGACUUUUGGGUUUUUUAAAAAGUUGGUGUAGUUUUAUGAAUGUUAUAGUUUUUAAAAAUAUUUUUUUAUUUUUUAAAAUUUAUUUAAAAAUGAUCUAAGAUGUAAAAAAUUUAAUUUAAAAUAAAAAAAUUAUUUUUUAAAAACACACUUUUAAAAUAUAAAAAUAAACCAGAAUUCAUGAUUAAAUUUGAUCAAGUAAUUAAUGCAAAAGAAGGGACAUGUAUGCAUUUCGAGAAAAAAAAAUCAAAAUCCUUAAAUUUACUAUUAUAUUUAUGUCAAUUAUUUAUUUCAAUCAUUUUUUUGUUAAUUUGGUUAAAUAAUUCUUAUGUUCUUUAAAUGUGUUCAUUUAAAACUUGUAUUUUCUAGUUUUCCCAAAUAAAUUAAUAACUAAUUUUGAUCAUGUCUUGAUGUUAAAUUAAGUUAAAAUAUUUUUUUAAAAAGAAACAUAAGGAAAACUCUAUCUAAUUCCUACACCAAGAUUUGGUAAAACUUAUCAAUCACUUAUUUUAUUUUAACUUUGAAUUUUUUAAUUUGAAUAAAAAAUAACAUAUAAGAUAAUAUUUUAAUAUUUUAAAAAAUAAAAUUAAUUUUUGGGAUGAAAACAAUUAAGAAAAGAAAGGAUAAAUUAAAAAGAAUUGAGAUAGGUUGCCCUAGGCCUAGGUAGCGGAACACCUCGGUUAGUGAGUUAGCUCAUAAGUAUGUAUUUGGACCAUGGAAGCUUGACCCAAGCACUUAAAAAAAAAAAAAAAAAAGGGUAGAUGAGGACAAUGCAUCGCUCAUUCUUUUUAAUAUAUAUAUAUAUAUAUAUAUAUAUUAAUUAUUAUUCUAUUUAUUGAAGAUAUAAUUACACGCUUUCACAUGCAUAAAUCUUGCUCCCUGCAUUAAUAUUCUCUGGAAAAAAAAAAAGAGAGACAACUCGUAUAUAUACGCAACUUUUCAUUGGUCAUCGCAGGACGAGGGAGAAUUAAUCCUUCCAUAACUUUUGCUAUCAACAAGCACAGUGGGCAUCACAGUACGAAAAAGAUCCUUUUCUUAUCGCGAUAGCUAGGUCUUUGGCUGUCUCCCUCGGUAAUUAAAGUGUCCCUCGCAUUAAUUUUGGAGUCAUUAAUUUUGUACCAUUUCUCGUUCUUUCUCUCGCCACCAUAGCUUUCAUGUUACAAUGACAUCUGCGUCUUCAUCUUCACAUUCAUUUUCAAAACCGUGGAUUUAUGACGUGUUUUUGAGUUUUAGAGGCGAGGACACGCGCAAAAAUUUCACCGAUCAUCUCUACUUUGCCUUCAAAGAUGCUGGAAUCAACACAUUUAGAGACGACAAUGAGCUCCGAAGGGGUGAAGAUAUUUCGACGGAGCUAUUACAAGCUAUCCAAAAGUCUAGGAUUUCAGUCAUUGUGUUCUCAAGAAAUUAUGCAAAUUCAAGAUGGUGUCUUGAGGAACUAGUGAAGAUCAUGGAGUGUAGGAGAAGUUGUAGGCAACUUGUUUUUCCUAUAUUCUAUGAUGUUGAUCCAUCUGAUGUAAGGAAACAGACUGGAAGUUUUGCAGAGGCCUUUGCUGGACAUGAAGAAAGGUUUGUGCUCCAGACAGACAAGGGCAAGGUGGCGACAUGGAGGAUGGCUUUGACUGAAGCUGCAAAUUUGUCUGGAUGGGAUUUGAGGAAUGUUGCGGAUGGGUAAGCACUCAUAAAAUUAACCAUCCUUGCUAAUUUAAUGGACUUUAUAAUUUGAAUUAAUAGUAAUUCUUACGUUAUCAAUGAUAUGAUCCAAGUGAUAAAAUUCUCAAAUUUAAACCUUUUGUAUAUAUUAAUAAUAAUAAUAAAAAUUUUGAACCAUUUAGAUUGUUUUUUUUUUCCUACCAUCCGAAAUCGUAUGAUUGGGGCAGGCAUACAAAGCUAUUAAGGAUGAAGAUGUUAUUAUUAAAAAAAAAGUAUAAUUUUGGUAGAAGAACUAACAACUUGCAUGUACAAAAAUGCUAUAAAUUUUCAAAACAAUUUCAAUGAAACAAAAAAAGUUGCAAAUGGCAAUGAUACCAAAGGAGUCCUUAACGUGCGUGAGAAAGAGGUUUUUUUUAUUUUUUUGAUUUUUUUUCUUGUGAUAGGAGAAAGAGGCUAGUUGAAUUCCAAUAUACAGAGAAAAAGUAAUUAAUAACACUAAUUUUAAUCAUAAAAAUAAUUGUUCAGGGUAUCUUUUGUUAAUGAGAGUUUCAACUAGGUUAUUUUUUAUUUUCUUUAUUUUGGUUUGAGUUAAUUUUGGAUUUUUUAGUUAUUUUUAGGUUGUUUGAGAUCAUAAAUAAAUUUAGGGUGUUUUUUAGGUUUUUUGAAUAAAAAAUAAGGUUUUUGUUUUUUACAAAAAAAAGAGAUAAAGCUCUAUUUUUCUUAUAAUCCUCUAGUUACUGAAUUUUUCAAACAGCAAAUGACAUGUUAUCUAUUUAAUUUUUUUAAAAAAUAGAUAACAAGUCAUUCACCCCUUAAAUAAAUAAAUAAAUAAAUAAAAACAAGCUCUGUUGUGUGGGUUGGGUUUUUUUUAGAUGGCCCAAGUAUGUAGGUUUACAAUGCUUGUUUUGGACUUUUUUUUAAAAAAACAAAUUAUAUUAGCUAAAAGAUAAAUUUAAUAAAAAAAUUAUUAAAUCUAGUUGAAACCAUAAUCGAAGUAAUAGGUUUGACAGAUUAAUCUAAAAAAUCUGAGCUGAUCUAAUAUUUUGCUAUUUGAAUAAUAUUUUAAAAAAUUAUGUCAGAUUGAACUUUUUUAAAACAUUUGGUUUGUUUUGAGUUUUUCUUUGUGAAGUAUUUUUUUCUAGGAUAUAUUUAUUCAAAUUUGAUUUUAACAUGAUUGUAACAGUGUGAUUAGAUCGUGAAACUCAAAUUAAUUAAAUAUAUUGUAAUCUUAAUUUUUUUUUAAAAAAAGAUAAGCGAUACUAAAAUUUUUUUAAGUAUUUUUUAAUUGAUUUUCAUGAUGUGUUUUGUUUUGAUUUUUAUAGGAUUAAUUAUUUUUAAUUUGGUUUUAGGAUUAAUUCGUUUUAAUUUUUAUAUUAUACAAUUUUUCAUCAUCUUGAUUUUUUUAAAUCUAAACCACACUAUUACGGAUUGUACCUUUACUUGGGAAAUUUCUACUGAUUUUUGACAAAGGGCAAAAGAAAAAACAGAGAUUGUGAUAUGUGAUCAUUCACUUAAUUAAUUAAUAACUUUAGAUGGGAAGAAAAUAAUUAAUAAAAAAAUUUCUUUUGUAGAAAUCACAUUAUUCUAAGAAGUUUGUCGACUAUUAACCAUUUGAUGAUACUACCAUCCCGUAGCGGCUAAGAGUUAAUUAAUUAAAAAAAAAUUGUUUUCGUAGAAAUCACAUUAUCUUAAGAAGUAUGUUGAUUAUUAAUUAACUAUUAACCAUUUCCUUCUAAAAUUUUAGUUUGGUCGCUCAUAUUUUUAUAUUUAUGUUAAUAGGUAAUUCAUCCUCUUUAGUUAUUAGAAAUUUAAAUUUUAGUUAUUAAAAAUUUAAUUUUAAUAUCAAAUUUAAUUUUUUAAUUUUUUUCUUGUGAAAGAAGAGAGAAGCUAGCUGAAUUCCGAUGUAGAGAGAGAAAAUCUUCAUUAAUACUAAUUUUGAUAAUAAAAAUAGUUGAUUUUAUCAAUAAGUUUCAUUUGAUAAUGAGAGUUUCAUCUAGAUAUUUUUUUUCAUUCACCUUUCCUAAGAAGGUAGAUUUACCCGUGAAAAGAUUUUUAGGUUUGAGUUGAUUUUCAUGUUUUUGAGCUGCUUUUGGGUUGUUUAAGGCAAUAAAUAGAUUUAGAAUGUUUUCUAAGUAUUUUGGGUAAAAAAUAUAGUUUUAUGCAAACAAAAAAUAGCAUAACCCUCAUUUUUCCUGUAACUCUCUAGUGAAUUUUGCGAACAUUAAAUAACGUGUAAUCUGCUUAUUUUUUUUGAAAAAAGAUGAAUGACAGGUCGUUUGCCCCUUUAAAAUAAAAUAAAAACAAGACAAGUUGGUCUAUCAUGUCCUCGCAUCUACCUCUCUUUAGACUUUUUUUUAAUAAAAAAAAAUUAUAUUAGGUAAAAAAUUAAUUUAAUAAAACAAAUAUUAAAUCUAGUUGAGACUAUGACCCAACUCAUAAGUUUGACAAAUUAAUCUAAAAUAAUUAGGUUUAUCCAUUAUUUUAUCAUCAGAAUAAUUUUUUAAAAAAAUUAUUUUAGAUUGAAUUGAAAAAAAAACAUUUGGUUUAUUUUGAAUUUGUUAUUGUGAUGGAUUUUUUUUUGUGGGAUUUAUUUGUUCAAAUUUGACUUCUACAUAAUUGUCAUAGUGUGAUUAGAAGGUAAAACUCGGGUUCAUUAAAUAUAUUAUUAUCUAAUUGUUUUCUAAAAAUAAGCGAUAUGAGGAGUUUUUUAAUGUAAGCAUUUUUUUAAAUUGAUUUUUUUGGUUUUUGUAGGAUUAAUUAUUUUUUAUUUGGUUUUUGUAGGAUUUAUUGGGAUUUUUUCGAUAUGCAGCAUUUGUCAAUGUAUAAAUCACUUCAUUGGCUUGUGAGGAGUGAUCGAUCUUGAAAAUCUAACCUGCACUAUUCAAUUUGAAACCGAGCAAUUUGGAUCAUCAAUUGGAUCAUUUUUUGAAUCUUGGACCAAGAUUCAUGAAACCGAGCAAUUUGGAUCAUCAAUUGGAUCAUUUUUUGAAUCUCUUGGACCAAGAUUCAUGUUGCAAAUCCAAGUUGAUUUUUUCUCAAUUGAUGAUUUUUCAAAUCUGUUAUAUAAUUAACCUCAUAGUGGGUUUUGUUAUAAGAACGUGCCUUUUGAAAAGAGAGCUGGUAUCUAGAGCUUAUUUGUUGUUAGGCACUAAACUACUAGUCGAUUUGGUGUAUGGAUAUCAUCACUAUCCAAUUUAUUUUUAAAAAGAUUUCAAUAAAUAAAUAAUUUUAAUAAUUUAGGUAACGAUACAUACUGAGAAGAAGAACAUUAUCAGUAGAUAAUCCAGAGUUGAGUAACUAAAUGGUGAUCUAAGGAAGGAGAUGUUUUGCUUGGGGCUGGAUUAAUUUUCUUCAGGAAAACUACAAAUUAUAAAAUAUUUUGGAUUGUGCUUUACAUAAUACAUUCUAAUUGGCUGUUUUAUGCUUAAAGUCUCACUAUUUUGUUGACAAUUAUUUGCAGGCAUGAAGCAAAAUUUAUAAAGAAAAUUGUUGGGGAGAUUUUGAGAGAACUGAGUAGCACAUACUUGUUCGUAGCCUUCUAUCCAGUUGGGAUAAAUCCUCGUGUGCAACAAUUGAACUUUUUGUUAAAUGCUGGAUCAAGCGAGGUCUGCAUUGUAGGAAUAUAUGGAAUGGGAGGCAUAGGGAAAACAACCAUUGCCAAGGCCAUGUAUAAUGAGUUGUUUCAUAGUUUUGAUGGGAAAUGUUUUCUCGCCAAUGUUCGAGAAAUUUCACAGCAGCCAAAUGGUCAUGUCAAACUGCAAGAACAACUUCUUGUUGAUAUCCUGAAGACAGACAAGAUUAAGAUUGGCAAUGUUGACAGAGGAAUGAAUAUGAUAAAGGAAAGACUUCACAGUAGAAGAGUUCUUCUCAUACUCGAUGAUGUAGACAAAUUAGAUCAGUUACAAGCGAUAGCGGGGAGUCGAGAUUGGUUUGGUUCAGGAAGCAGAAUCAUUGUAACAACAAGAGAUAAGCAUGUUCUGACAGUUCUUGGAGCUGAUCGAGUAUACAUGGCCAGAGAAAUGAAUGACAUUGAAGCUUUGGAGCUCUUUAGUUGGCAUGCCUUUCGAACAAGCCAUCCCGUCGAAGAUUAUAAGGAGUUGUCAGAACAAAUUGUUGACUACUGUGGAAGAUUGCCACUAGCACUUGAAGUAAUAGGCUCUUUUCUAUUUGGUAGAAGUAUAGUUGAAUGGAAAAGUGCAUUGGAGAAACUGAGAAGAAUUCCUGAUGAUCAAAUUCAGAAAAAGCUCCAAAUAAGUUUUGAUGGCCUGAAUGAUGACACACAGAAAGAUAUAUUCCUCGAUAUAUCAUGUUUCUUUGUUGGGAUGGACAAGGAAUAUGUGUUACCAAUAUUAAAUGGCUGUGAUUUUUUUGCAGACAUUGGACUGAGUGUCCUCACUCAGAGGUGCCUUGUAUCUGUUAGUGAAAAGAACAAGCUAAUAAUGCAUGAUUUGCUUCGAGAUAUGGGGAGAGAAAUUGUUCGUGCGCAAUCACCGAACAAUCCAGGCAGGCGGAGUAGAUUAUGGAUUCGUGAAGAAGUUGGUGACAUUUUGAGAAGAAACAUGGUGAAUGCAUUCAAACUUAUCAUCAUAUAAAUUCAUGUUUUGAAAAAAUAUCUGAUCCUUACCUCUUAACGUGGUUUAUUGACAGGGAACUGAAGCAAUCCAAGGGAUGGCCAUAAACUUGCUGAAAGUGAAUGACCUGAAUGUGGAUGUAAAUGUGUUUUGCAAUCUGCAAAACCUAAGGCUGCUCCAGCUCAAUCAUGUAAAGCUUGGUGGAGGCUGUGACUAUCUUUUGAGAAAAUUAACCUGGCUCUGUUGGCAUGGAUUUCCACUCUCGUUCAUACCUGAUGGCCUCUAUGGGGAAAACCUUGUUGCUAUAGAUAUGCGAUACAGCAGCCUCAGACAGGUUAAGAAUUCUAAGGUACGCUGAAACUACCAAAUAUUUAUCUAAACCUUAGUAUGCUGUCACACAAUAACAAUUUCUUUCUAAAUCCCGAAUCUUGCUUGUUUUCCUCAGCUCCUUUGGAAGUUGAAGUUUCUUAAUCUCAGUCAUUCUCAUUACCUAUCUCGGACUCCGGACUUUUCCAGACUUCCACAUCUGGAGAAGUUAAAACUCAAAGACUGCAGAAGUUUGGUUGAAGUUCAUCAUUCUAUUGGAUACCUUGAUAGUCUUGUUUUGGUAAAUUUCAAAGAUUGCAAGCAACUUAUGAGGCUCCCGAGUAGCUUCUGGAAGUUGAAGUCUAUCGAGAUUCUUUACCUCUCAGGCUGCUCAAAAUUUGAUGAAUUGCCUGAGGACUUGGGAGAUUUGGAAUCCUUGACGGUUCUCCACGCAGAUGACACUGCCAUAAGACAAGUACCAAAUAACAUAGUCAGAUUGAAGAACCUCCAAGAUUUAUCACUUUGUGGCUGUAAAGGUUCAACUUCCGCAACAUUUCCUUCGCGUUUGAUGUCAUGGUUUCUGCCAAGAAAAAUUCCCAAUCCAACCAACCUGUUGCCACCUUCCUUUCAUGGCUUAGACAGACUCACAUCAUUAUCGCUCAGGGAUUGCAAUUUAUCUGAUGACGCGCUUCCUAGAGAUCUUGGUAGCUUACCCUCACUAACUAAUCUGGAAUUGGACCGUAACAGUUUUCAAAG